GAUGAACGCUGGCGGCGUGCCUAAUACAUGCAAGUCGAGCGAACAGACGAGGAGCUUGCUCCUCUGACGUUAGCGGCGGACGGGUGAGUAACACGUGGAUAACCUACCUAUAAGACUGGGAUAACUUCGGGAAACCGGAGCUAAUACCGGAUAAUAUAUUGAACCGCAUGGUUCAAUAGUGAAGGACGGUUUUGCUGUCUCUUAUAGAUGGAUCCGCGCCGCAUUAGCUAGUUGGUAAGGUAACGGCUUACCAAGGCAACGAUGCGUAGCCGACCUGAGAGGGUGAUCGGCCACACUGGAACUGAGACACGGUCCAGACUCCUACGGGAGGCAGCAGUAGGGAAUCUUCCGCAAUGGGCGAAAGCCUGACGGAGCAACGCCGCGUGAGUGAUGAAGGUCUUCGGAUCGUAAAACUCUGUUAUUAGGGAAGAACAAAUGUGUAAGUAACUAUGCACGUCUUGACGGUACCUAAUCAGAAAGCCACGGCUAACUACGU
RNAcentral lists this ribosomal RNA (496 nucleotides) under uncultured bacterium. Its description in RNAcentral is "partial 16S ribosomal RNA". It matches the Rfam family "Bacterial small subunit ribosomal RNA", at positions 28 to 506 of the family's 1533-position model. The record is from RNAcentral.